GUCUCUGGCCAUGCUACCCUGAACAAGCCCGAUCUCAUCUGAACUCGUAAGCUAAGCAAGGUCAGGCCUACUUCAGUACUUGGAUGGGAGACCACGUAGGAAGACGAGGUGCUGUAGGAG
Molecule: ribosomal RNA, 120 nt
Filed under: Pteropus alecto (black flying fox)
Lineage: Eukaryota; Metazoa; Chordata; Mammalia; Chiroptera; Pteropodidae
Source: RNAcentral